This 2622-nucleotide long non-coding RNA is filed under the name Homo sapiens (human). RNAcentral describes it as "HSALNT0358447". The record is from RNAcentral. Lineage: Eukaryota; Metazoa; Chordata; Mammalia; Primates; Hominidae.
CACACACAGCUAGCUCUUCAGGCCAGGCCCCCAGGGUUUCGUCCACCUCUCACCUUUGACGACGCGAAUGAAGAAUGAGGAGGUGCUGCGAUCGAACGACUGCGAGGAAACACACCCGCUCUCAUGGCAUUCCCAGUAAACUGAGAAGACGUGAUUAAACCUCAGGAUCUCCUACUAAUAGAGAAAUGUAUAACGAUUUAGCUACCAGAUCUGAAUACUGAAGGGUUGGUAGGGGACCAGAGAAUAGAGGAAGCAUUGUAGGUUCUAGAGUGGAGAAGGGACCAUCCAAAAUGGAGUUUGAAAGAGAAUUCUGGCCUUUGUGUUUAGAGUCUGGAAUUGUCAAGAGUCUGAAAGCACAGAAUAAGACUGCAGCUAGAGCAAUUUAGGCGCCAUAGUUUGUCAAAACAGAGACGGGAUCUCACUGUGUUGCCCAGGCUGGUCUCGAACUGCUGGACUCAAGUCAUCCUCCCAUCUUGGCCUCCCAAAGUGCUGGAAUUACAGUGGACAACCUUCAAUGCACUGGUACUUUGUACCCUGACCUCUACUGUGAUGAACACUCAACUUGGGCAAGGAAGUGAAAUUCUCCAAAGGCCCAGCACCUUAGCACCUGAGGCUGCUACCUGAGAAGUACGCACUGUUCUGGCUUCAUGGAGACCAUGCUCCAUUUCUGCUGUUGAAGUCUUUGAGAGACCAGGAUCAUGGGCUGAGUGCAACCUCCUCCCCAUGCCAUCUGCAGAGCCUGAAGAGGAAAACACAAAUACAAGUUGAGGCCAUCUCUUCCCCUAGGGCCUAACCUCUAAGCCUAGCAGCACAAACUCAGGAGCUGUUGUUUCAUUUAAUAAUAAAUAUGCAUCCUUGAAUUCAACGGAGGAACAUGCUCCUGGAAUUUAGAAGCAAGAGGGGCUGGGCGCGGUGGCUCACACCUGUAAUCCCAGCACUUUGGGAGGCCAACACGGGCAGAUCACGAGGUCAGGAGAUCGAGACCACCCUGGCUAACAUGGUAAAACCCUGUCUCUACUAAAAAUACAAAAAAUUAGCCGGGCGUGGUGGCAGGCACCUGUAAUCCCAGCUACUCGGGAGGCUGAGGCAGGAGAAUGGCGUGAACCCGGGAGGCGUAGCUUGCAGUGAGCGGAGAUCACGCCACUGCACUCCAGCCCGGGUGACAGAGCGAGACUCCGUCUCAAAAAAAAAAAGAAACAAGAAUUUUAGAAUAUAGAUAGUUUACUGAGUGUCCCCAUCUUGCUUCAUUUCAUUUUUGUAAACAUAAUCAGCUUCUGUCAGACUUAGGCUCAAGACUUAUAGACAGAGGAAAGUAUCUAACACAGUGAGUUUUGUUUUCUAACACAGUGAUUUUCUAAAGUAUCUGUGGUGACAAAGGAAAUUAUCUCCAGUCUAGUUCAGAAUAGAAAUGAUCAUAAUAAUCAUCUAUCAAACCUCCUCAUUUUAUAUAACAGGAAAAUGAGUUCCAGGGUCUGAGAGUUUAGUAGUUUAACCAGGAUUAAAAUUAAAUCCUCUUGAUUUUCAGUACAGUACUCUUACCAUCUCACCUGGUGACCUCUUUUACUCUGAGAGCAGGAGCUCCUCAGGAAUGUUUUACAUAUGUAAUGCUCUUUUCCCCUUAGCUUCUCUCAAAUCAUUUAAAUUUCUAAACAACCACUAAAUGCUUACCUCUUUUCAAAAUCUUUCUAGAUUGUUCAGUUGCUCUAAACUGGAUUGGUGACUCCCAAGGGGCUAUCCCCAAUCCAACUAAUUAAGUUUUCCAUUCCAAAACUGUAUAUGCCCCUGACCUACAUUUGAUACAUAUGUCCAUGGCCAAUUCAUGUCUUGAUUUGAUGAUUUGAUUCUAAUAUAUAUAUAUAUAUCUGGCUGAAGCUGAUAUUAUUCAUGUAAGUAUUGUAAGACCAGUUAUUUUCAGUAUUCCUGGGUACUUAAAUGCAGUGCUUUCAAUACCACCUCAGAUUCAUCUGGGAACUUUUAAAAAUAUAGCUUCCUGGAUGUUACCACAGAGCUGAAUCAGAAGGUUUGUGGUUGGUGCCUGGGAAUUUUCAUUUUUGAAAGGUUCCCAAAAAGUCUAAGAAAAUAUCCUUGAACAUUAUUGGGGGAAAUGGGAAAUGUUACAGUCUUCCUAAAAAACAACCUGGUAAUCUCCAAUAAAAUAAAAAAUAUAUUUAUCCUGUUGCCCAACGAUUCUAAUCCUGAGAAGAAGAAGAAAAAAAUACCAGUUCAUAACAACAUAUAUAUGAGAAUAUUUUCUACUGACAUAAUUUAUAGUAGCCAAGAACUAGAAAUAAAGUAAUGCCCACCUAUAGAAGAAUAAAUACAUUAUGGUUUAAUACCAGAUAUUGUCCAGCCACUUAAAAAGAUUGAACUGAGUUAAACUAGAUGAUUUGAAGAAAUUUUAAUGAAACAUUGUUGCAUUAAAAGGAAAAAAAUCUGUAAAAUGAUAGACAAGCAUUUGUUUAUGUAUAUGUAGGUCUACAUAGGAUUGUAUAAACAGAAAAUACAGUGUAUGCACACUAGAUAAUUACCUGGGGAAGUAGGGACUGGCUGUGAGAGAAGAGACAGGAAAAUUGUCUAUAAUAAAAACAGCAUGUGUGUUAUGUUCUUAUUUCUAUAAAAUUA